Molecule: small nuclear RNA, 194 nt
Organism: Humulus lupulus (European hop)
Lineage: Eukaryota; Viridiplantae; Streptophyta; Magnoliopsida; Rosales; Cannabaceae
Product: U2 spliceosomal RNA
Exons: 1
Source: RefSeq, a predicted model, not a curated record
AUACCUUUCUCGGCCUUUUGGCUAAGAUCAAGUGUAGUAUCUGUUCUUAUCAGUUUAAUAUCUGAUAUGUGGGCCAAUGGCCCACGCGAUAUUAAAUUAAUUUUUUAUAGGGGAGAAUAUAGUUGGUAGCUUGCUGCCAGGGUUCCCAGGCGUUGUCCGUGUGCUGCACUAUCGCAAGGACUGGCGCACCCUAC